UGCGCUGUAGAUUCUGUUGAACGAGUAUGAAAGCCGGUUUCGCGAGGACAAGGCCACUGGACAUUUUAUGCUCAUACGGGGAAUACAAUCUGAGAAUCUGCGUGUGUCGCCCGCACCAAUACCUGACAACAUUGUGGAAAUAGUUGCAGUUGAAACAGAGAUUGUAUGCAAGUCCUCAGCUGCUACUGCAUCUCCAAGAAAGACAGCAGGUAUAUCAUCUCGUGACGACCACAUUGAAGUCUGAAUUUGAAGUGCGAAGAUGCUUCAGCAACCACAUCGUACUUUUCCAUUGCUUUCAUUGUGCUUCUACUGUGCAUGUGUGUAACUUGUGGGGUAUACAUGUGAUGACAUUGUAUGCUGGCGACACGGUCAGAUUUUGUCCAUGCGUGUAACGUACACCUGCAUGUUAUGCAUCGAAAAGGAUCUGCCACUUGCGAUCCUGGGACAAGUAUCAGGUCAGCUUUGUCUUGUGUGGGCUGUACCAGAUUGCUGUUCACUUUUCUAUCUGUUGGAUAUGUGACUUUCUGCAAGUCUCUGGUGUAUGGUGGCCACUUC
This is a long non-coding RNA of Sycon ciliatum, 555 nucleotides long. RefSeq lists it as uncharacterized. Lineage: Eukaryota; Metazoa; Porifera; Calcarea; Leucosolenida; Sycettidae. The transcript is spliced from 3 exons. The record is from RefSeq and is a predicted model, not a curated record.